AUACAGUGUGAAUUAAGCUCUGUUGCAACAAUGGUGUCUGCUACUGCAUCUGCGAAGAAAACUUCUGCACCGAAGAAACCCAGAUCUCACCCUCCUUAUGUUGAGAUGAUAUCUGAAGCAAUAACUACGUUGAAGGAAAGAACUGGAUCGAGUCAAGUGGCGAUAGCCAAGUUUAUCGAGGAAAAGCAAAAGGGUUUGCCUCCAAACUUCAGGAAGCUUUUGUUGGUUCAAUUGAAGAAGCUUGUUGCUUCAGGAAAACUAACUAAAAUCAAGAGCUCUUUCAAGGUUUCCCCUGUUGUGAAACCUGCCGCCGUUGUGAAGCCAAAGAAGGCACCGGCUCCGGCAACAAAGAAGAAAUCCACUUCCUCAACCGCAACUGCUGCCGCAAAGCCGAAAGUGACAGCCCCAAAGAAGAAAGUUGUAGUGAAGAAAGCCAAACCUGCAGCAGCAGCAGCACCAGCAAAGAAAGCGAAGAAGCCAGCUACUGCUCCGGCUAAAGCGAAGAAAACCCCGGUGAAGAAAGCCGCAGUUGCUAAAGUGAAGAAGACUCCAGCGAAGAAAGUUGUGAAGAAGCCGAAAACCAUUAAGUCUCCGGCUAAGAAAGCGAAGAAAUGAAGAAACUAAUCUGAAUUUGGGUGUUUGAAUCUGUAAAUUACUUUUACAUUUCUCUAGCGAUGACAUCAAAUCCACCCUUUUUCUUCAUGGGUUUUUUUUUCUUCUUCUUCCCCCCUUUCUUUUGCAGUUUUUACUCGUUUCUCCAUUGUUAGGGUUUGUUUGUUUUUAGGAGUAUGCCUUGUGCUCUAUCGUUUUCAUUGAAUAGUAACAGAUUUGUAUGAAG
Molecule: unclassified non-coding RNA, 838 nt
Filed under: Hevea brasiliensis (rubber tree)
Lineage: Eukaryota; Viridiplantae; Streptophyta; Magnoliopsida; Malpighiales; Euphorbiaceae
Source: RNAcentral